RNAcentral lists this ribosomal RNA (256 nucleotides) under uncultured bacterium. RNAcentral's name for it is "partial 16S ribosomal RNA". It matches the Rfam family "Bacterial small subunit ribosomal RNA", at positions 524 to 776 of the family's 1533-position model. The record is from RNAcentral.
UACGGAGGGGGCUAGCGUUGUUCGGAAUUACUGGGCGUAAAGCGCACGUAGGCGGCUUUGCAAGUCAGAGGUGAAAGCCCGGGGCUCAACCCCGGAAUAGCCUUUGAGACUGCAUCGCUAGAAUUGUGGAGAGGUAAGUGGAAUUCCGAGUGUAGAGGUGAAAUUCGUAGAUAUUCGGAAGAACACCAGUGGCGAAGGCGGCUCACUGGCCCGGUACUGACGCUGAGGUGGCGAAAAGCGUGGGGAGCCAAACAGG